UUGAUUCCACCUUUUGUUGAGUUCAGAAGAGCACAGGAAAUGCUGCAGUCACAGACAUUUUUAGCAAACAGUCUCCCACAUCCUCCUUCCCAGACUUCCCCAUCUCCACGCCUCUCUGACCACUUUUGCAGCAGAACCACUAUUUUCUAGGUUAGCAGUUCUCAACUGUGGGUGAGUUUGCCCCUUGGAGACAUUUGUUGAUGUCUGGAGACAUUUUUUUUUUUUGUCAUCACAACUAGGUGCAUGCUGUUGACAUCCAGUGGCCCUGCUGGAAUUCAUUAACCUAGUUUCAGGCUCUGUAUGUUGGGACUGAUGAAGCAAUCCUGAAGAUGGUUCCUCUGGCAUCUCAGCUUCACAAAUUAUGCACACUCAUUUGAGAUACUGAUUCCUGAGGCCUGCCCAGGCUCCCCGGUGCCACGGUGUGUCUUCCUGUGGAGGAAAUGAGGCUGACACAACAGGCAGAAGGCUCCAACACAAAGGGUUGAUGAUUUAUUUGCAUUUCUGCAAAAAUAAAAGUGAAGUGCAGUUAAUAACAGAUCUGUCUGAUGACAUUGUAAGUGGGAAAAGAAGAAACGUGAGUUUAACUCUUUAACAGAGGCAAAUCCUUAAGUUGAUUUUUAACUUCAAUUAGGGCACACAACAUUUCUAAGACACAGCUUUACAUAUGUUUUUAUUUCACUGUGAGGAAUACUAUAAAUCCAAUAAUAAAAGAUAAAUAUCAAAGGGGAUGUUCUGAGGAAAACUGGGGAAUAGUGUUCCAUGAUGUCCAGAUGUAACAAAAUCAUCUUGUACUUUCUUCUACUGAUGGUUUCAG
RNAcentral lists this long non-coding RNA (814 nucleotides) under Homo sapiens (human). Its description in RNAcentral is "HSALNT0346852". The record is from RNAcentral. Lineage: Eukaryota; Metazoa; Chordata; Mammalia; Primates; Hominidae.